RNAcentral lists this long non-coding RNA (511 nucleotides) under Monodelphis domestica (gray short-tailed opossum). RNAcentral's name for it is "lncRNA (ENSMODG00000033665.2)". The record is from RNAcentral. Lineage: Eukaryota; Metazoa; Chordata; Mammalia; Didelphimorphia; Didelphidae.
GCUCUCCCACAGCAACCCGGGGACAGCUUCCUUGUUCAGAGUCUGCACCCGCUCUGGAUUUCAAUCAGCUAGGUCCACGGAAGAGCAGUCCCUGGGGACCCCCAGGCAGAGACACCCCCCUUGAUGAAGAAACUGAGACAGAGUUGUUAAACAAUUUAUAUGCCAGGCUCUGGACCAUGUGCUUUUCAAAUCUUACCUUAUUUGAUCCUCACAAAAGCCCUGGGAGGCUCUCUACUUCUGGCUGCACAGGACUCCCAGAGGCCCCCCAAAUUUGUGUGUGCCAGAAAGAAGGAAGGACAGCUAUCUACCUGGGACCCAGAGGUCCCACGGAGUCUCUGCUCAUGUAAAGGAUCGUCUCUUUCCUGUCUCCUCUCACAUCUGUAAGAACUCCACAGCGUCUGUGGGCUGAUGGAGAAUCUCAGAGCAGUUUUGGCUUCUCUUCUUUUCCAGAUUUAGCACCAGGCCUGGGCAUAUAAUAAGUGCCUAAUAAAUAAUCUCAUUUUCCUCUUCA